This 2670-nucleotide long non-coding RNA is filed under the name Monodon monoceros (narwhal). RNAcentral's name for it is "lncRNA (ENSMMNG00015019834.1)". Lineage: Eukaryota; Metazoa; Chordata; Mammalia; Artiodactyla; Monodontidae. The record is from RNAcentral.
AUGACAAGUUGUGAUUUCCAAGUGAACAGUGUCUUGAUAUAUCAUGUGCCCAGAACAUUUCCUUUAAUAAGAUUGACCUUGCAAUUCUCAUUCCCUGCUCCUAGUGACAUUACAUUACUGCAGGUCAUCUACAUGGCUUCUUUGCCCUUUUUUCCUAGACUUAUCUCGGCAAGUCACUUCUUCCAGAUGACUCAACAAAAGAUGCUAAAUCAAGCAGAAUUUUGGCAGCCACUCUUUUGGAAAGGAUGCUCAAGAACAGACGUUGGAGACCUGCACAUGCUCCUUAAAAUUGGAAAGAAGUCUGUCUGGGCAUAGAGAGCACAUGAAAAAAGAUCGAUGAGAAACAACCUAGUGCAUGUAUAAACUACAAGCAAUUUCUUAUGGUUGAAUUACUCAGUACAAGACAAUAAAUAGAGAAAGGAAAGGUAGGUAAUGAUCAGUUCAUGGAAAGCUUGUAGGUCACAUUCUGAAGUUUGGAUGUGGGUUGUUAAAGGGAGAUCAGGUGAGGAUUUGUUGGGAUGAAAAAUGGAGAAAGGAUUUGAAAAAUAGAGAUAAAAUGGGAAGGACUUGAUUAAUUGGAUAUUGAUAGAGAAAUUGAUGUCCAGUUUUCUAAUGUAGGAACUCUAACCAUCCCAACAUUUGGAGAAUAGGUGAUAAGUAACAAAUUGGAUGGGAAACAUGAUAAACUGAAUAUUUGGAUACUUUGAGAUUGGGAUGGAAUAUUCACCCAUCCUAGUAUUCAGGUGGAUGUUUCUAGUAGGUGAUUGGAUUUCCAGUUCUGAGGUAUUUUGAGAAAAAUCUGAGCUGGAGAUACAAUUUGGGAGUUAAAACCACAGAGGUGAAUCAGAUGACCCAGAGAGAGAGAGUCCAUAUAGAGACAAAUUUAGUUUAAUCCUAAUUCUGCCAUAUUUAGCUAUGUGGGCCUUAGGUGGAGGGUUGGGUUGGGGUGAAAUAUUAAGAAAAUUUCAAAACAAAUUAAGGUGGAAUUUGAAAAGGUCUUUGAAUGGGGUGAAGUUGAAGUAGAAAUUUAGUAUGACUAUCACAUUUCUGGCUUGGGCAACUGGUUAGAUGGUGGUGACAUUCCCUAAAUUAUGGAUGGGCGGUUGGCGGGAGCCAGGUGCUAGUCAGAGUGCUAGAUAAGACUUCCCAGAAUUGCAAAUGUUAGGCAAAAUAAUCCUUCUGACUUAUUUUUCUGUUAUAGGACAUUGUUGGAGGAUGAGUGAUAGGGGACAGUCUUUGAGAAUCUCUCUCCAAAAAAACAGAACUGUUAACUUACAUAAUGUUCUAGCAUUGUCUAUGAUUCUCUGGUAUUCAUUAGAAAUUUUCCUGAUUUGUAGAAAAUGAGAUGUUGUGUAGAUCUGUAAACCUGUGACUGUCAAAAGAAGGAAUAAAUACAAAAGUUGGUUGUUAAUUAGGACUGUUUAUAAACGGUUUGCCAUGCACCCAAAGCUAGGAACUUGGUUGAUGUGUGUUAUACAUUUGUAAAGCCUUUGUAAACUAGUCAAGUCUUAUAGGCCUGGAAACCAUUUUUUUUUCUUGGCGACUUCAUUUCUCCUUUGAUUUAUUGAGUGAGUUAAAAAAUUUAACUCCAGAGGGCAGUUUUAUUUUUAUAGUUCCAAAUGCUACAAUACUUCCUUUUACUUAAAAAAAAUUUAUGUGGACAUUUUGAGAUUUCAGUGGCACUUUAAAUCCUACUGAGUAAUAGCCAAAACUCAAGUUGGUCUUUAAGGCUUGCCUUUAUCUAGACCAGUGCUGUCCAAUACUUAAUAUAAUGUCAGGCAUGUGUAAUUUUAUUUAUUUAUUUAUUUAUUUAUAAUAAAUUUAUUUGUUUAUUUUUGGCUGCGUUGGGUCUUCAUUGUGGUGCGCCGGCUUCUCAUUGUGGUGGCUUCUCUUAUUGCGGAGUGCGGGCUCUAGGCGCCCAGGCUUCAGUAGUUGUGGCACGCGGGCUCAGUAGUUACGGUGCAUGGGCUUAGUUGGUCCGUGGCAUGUGGGAUCUUCCUGGACCAGGGCUUGGACAUGUGUCCCCUGCAUUGGCAGGCGGAUUCCUAACCAUUGCACCACCAGGGAAGUCCAGGCAUGUAUAAUUUUAAAAUUUCUGAUGGCCACAUUAAAAAAAGUAAAAACCAGGUGAGAUUAGCCUUAAUACAUUUAAUUUAGCCUUAUAUAUACAGGAUAUUAUUAUCUCAACAUAUAAUAAAAGCUUUUAUUAAUGAGCUAUUUUACAUGCUUUGACAUCUAGAAUAUAGAUUACUCUUACAGGUAGGGUGACCCUGUGUUGUGUGACUUACAGUGCUAAAACUUGUACAGAUGGUCACCUUAUUUACAGCCCAUAUUAAUUCAGAUGCUGCAUUUUUAUUGAAAAUACUUGGUCUAUAUUUAGGUUACAUAAAAUCUACUGUUUGAAAAAGUUUAUUCAUAUAUGCAGGUUCUUCCAAAUAUACUUAAAAGUGUUCCUAUAACUGAAUCGGGUAUCAGUUAAAUUUACAUUAAUUCAAAUUAAACCUUCAGUUCUUCAGUUGUACUAGCCACAUUUUAAGUGCUCAGUAGCCACAUGUAGCCAGUGACUACCAUGUUGACAGUGCCAGUCUUGAACAACCUGUACCUUUCUAGCUAAAUCCUAGUCUUCACGCAGCCACUGUGCUCCAGCUAGACUGCACUGAUUGCCCUUCC